RNAcentral lists this ribosomal RNA (301 nucleotides) under uncultured bacterium. RNAcentral describes it as "partial 16S ribosomal RNA". It matches the Rfam family "Bacterial small subunit ribosomal RNA", at positions 509 to 807 of the family's 1533-position model. The record is from RNAcentral.
CAGCCGCCACGGGAAUACGUAGGUGGCAAGCGUUGUCCGGAAUUAUUGGGCGUAAAGGGCUCGCAGGCGGUUUCUUAAGUCAGAUGUGAAAGCCCCCGGCUCAACCGGGGAGGGUCAUUGGAAACUGGGAAACUUGAGUGCAGAAGAGGAGAGUGGAAUUCCACGUGUAGCGGUGAAAUGCGUAGAGAUGUGGAGGAACACCAGUGGCGAAGGCGACUCUCUGGUCUGUAACUGACGCUGAGGAGCGAAAGCGUGGGGAGCGAACAGGAUUAGAUACCCCGGUAGUCCCUGUCUCUUAUAC